Molecule: RNA transcript, 1255 nt
Organism: Camellia sinensis
Lineage: Eukaryota; Viridiplantae; Streptophyta; Magnoliopsida; Ericales; Theaceae
Source: RefSeq, a predicted model, not a curated record
AGUCCUCUCUCUCUCUCUCUCUCUCUCUCUCUCAUGUUUGGACUUUGUUCCUUCCUUCAUGGGCAUAUGCCAAUCUCUUACAGAUAGAUAUUCUCUUUUUCUAUCCCAAUCUGUCUUUCUCUAAAACCUCUCUGUCAUCUCAAGAAUUCAUCAAAAAAAAAAGUGGCAUACUCUGUCAUUCAAAACCAUCCACAGAUAAAAAUUCUGAGAAAGGAUAAGAGACGGCAGUGAUUCUUCACAAAUCAUAAUAGCAAUAAUGGAUGUAUUUGAAAAAGAUUACAAUUUAGAGGACACCCAGAACGCAGAGUCCAAAGUUGUGGAUGAUCUAGUAGUGAGCGAGACUGUUAAUGAAGAACAACAGAGUAGUAAUUCGGAGUCUUUGGAGGAAACCAACCCUCAUCAAGGAUUGGUUUCAGAAAAGUUGGAUGCUUUGGAUUCAGUUGGUGAAACUGAGCCUUCUCUUGACUUGACUAAGCCUGUUCAUGAGUUCAGUGAAGAAGCUAAAGGAGAAGACCAAGUUGAGCAUACUGAUGUGGGAAACAAAACUGAGCAGUCCUUGGAUGAGAGCAAUGGAGUUUCCAUAAAUUCUGUUGUGUCCAUUGGAAUUGAUUUGUCAUCGUCGGGUCGGAAUGGUGAUGUUUCUUCUAUUUUAACUAAUGUGGUACCAAAGGGAAUUGAGCAGGACAUGAUUGAGAAUAAGAACAAUGAGGAAGCAACAGAAGAAACAACGAUGUUGCCAGCGUCCGAUGAAAACCCAGAGGAAUCCUCAAACGCUGCUUCUGAUUUGGUUUCAAACCAAAAUCUUGCUAAUGUUUUGCAGUCAGAAGAUCGCAAGGAUUCUAACGUGUCUGAACUUCCAGAAAGCACAGAAAAUCAGCAUUUUAUAGCUGUGACACCGCGGCCUCUGGAACGGACUUUUUGGAGGGGAUGCUGUGGAUUGUUUGAAUUUCUGAGGCAUUCUGAUUAGUAAUAUAAGGUGACUUAAUAGGAUUACAAUAUGCUUCAUCUUCCAAUACCUUCAAGUUCAUUUUAGUGAAUAAAGAUUUAAUAAAUACAUGGCUUUCCAGUUAAAGAGUUUUCUGUACCUCCACACAUGCAUAUGGAUUCCAGAUUGAAUUUCUCUUGUCCCUCAACUUUUAUUUUUGUAUUCCUCAUUUCAGUGAAAAAUUGAGAUUUGCCAAAUUUAUGAUUGAUUGCCUUGCCUGUGUGAAAGCUUGUAUGAUUUUGGUUUUGAAUAAGCUUUAUUGUUGCUAUU